This 630-nucleotide ribosomal RNA is filed under the name Triticum aestivum (bread wheat). Its description in RNAcentral is "partial small subunit ribosomal RNA". The record is from RNAcentral. Lineage: Eukaryota; Viridiplantae; Streptophyta; Magnoliopsida; Poales; Poaceae.
AUGGCGAGGGUACACUCUUCGCCGUCGUUUUCUUCUUCUUCGUCGCCGGCGGGCGAGGGAAGGGGGAAGGUGUUCACGCUGUGGCUCAAGUCGCUGGUGCUCAACGGGCGGGGGUGCACCGUGUACGACUCCGACGGCCACAUCGUCUACCGCGUCGACAACUACGGCUCCAAGUGCAGCGACAACGUCUGCCUCAUGGACCUCCGCGGCAACAUCGUCGUCAACAUACACAAGAAGAAGCUGGCGUUUGGCAAGUGGGAAGGGUACAAGUGGACCGGCCGGAAGCAAGAGGCCAGCGCGUGGUUCAAGGUGGCGCGGCCGCGCAGCGGCAUCUUCCACCGGAGCGGCCGCCGCCCGUCGUCGUCGCCGUGCGAGUUCGAGAGCGACGCCGGCCGCGCCAUGCGGUACAUGAUCGACGACGACGGCGGGGCGCGCGCAGGGAAGCGAGCGUGCUGCAGGAUCGUGGACGCCGGCACCGGGCUGGUGGUGGCGGAGGUGAAGAGGAAGGUGACGGCGGGCGGGGUGGCGCUCGGGGAGGACGUGCUCGCCCUGGUGGUGGAGCCCGGCGUCGACGACUCGCUCAUCAUGGGGCUCGUGCUCGUCUACGGGCUCAUGAAUCGCACCAUGUGA